Electrophorus electricus (electric eel) is the source of this 532-nucleotide non-coding RNA. Lineage: Eukaryota; Metazoa; Chordata; Actinopteri; Gymnotiformes; Gymnotidae. The record is from RefSeq and is a predicted model, not a curated record.
CACGCCGAGCACAUUGGUUUCAUUAUAGAAUUUAAAAGCAGUUCCAACAAAAACAUAAACAUGCAAUAGGUUACGAACAAGUCAACAAGUAUGUACAACCUGAAGAACCGCGGAGCUCAUUUUCCCACCAAGCCCGAUCUGUGAAUUCUCAUUUUUCGUAUUGGCUGGUCACAACAGUCUCUUCCGUUGUUCGCGCCUCCCUUUGCACGAACUCUUUCGGUAGCCGACUGGAUUGCUGAACUACGUUUUGAUAAACGGCUUAUACACGUAAAUUCCGUUUAAACAGAGCCCUUUAGAAAUCUUUUCCUUCACAUUUGGAAAAAAGGCAGGCUUUGACUGACACCUGCCACGUGACCAGCACUGCAUACACGCCAUCCUCUUUUGUUUCCCAGGGAAACCGCCAGAACCACUUGAAAUGAACCAAUCAAAAGGGGAAUUAGAGGCAGUCUAGUAUUUUGUGUGCUCAACAGGUUAAAUACAGUUCAUGAAAAUGCACUGCAACCAGUUUUUUUUUAAUCAUUUUUAUGUAACU